AUUGAACGCUGGCGGCAUGCCUUACACAUGCAAGUCGAACGGUAACGCGGGGCAACCUGGCGACGAGUGGCGAACGGGUGAGUAAUGCAUCGGAACGUACCCAGUAGUGGGGGAUAGCCCGGCGAAAGCCGGAUUAAUACCGCAUACGACCUAUGGGUGAAAGCGGGGGAUCGCAAGACCUCGCGCUAUUGGAGCGGCCGAUGUCAGAUUAGGUUGUUGGUGGGGUAAAAGCCUACCAAGCCUGCGAUCUGUAGCUGGUCUGAGAGGGCGACCAGCCACACUGGGACUGAGACACGGCCCAGACUCCUACGGGAGGCAGCAGUGGGGAAUUUUGGACAAUGGGCGCAAGCCUGAUCCAGCCAUGCCGCGUGCGGGAAGAAGGCCU
This 385-nucleotide ribosomal RNA is filed under the name uncultured bacterium. RNAcentral describes it as "bacterial SSU rRNA". It matches the Rfam family "Bacterial small subunit ribosomal RNA", at positions 29 to 417 of the family's 1533-position model. The record is from RNAcentral.